CCCAAUUCUAACAGCAUAAGAGAGGUAGUGACAAGAAAUAACAAUACAAGGCAAUUAAAAUGCUUUGUAAUUGGAAUGAUAGAAAUUUAAACACUUUUUAAAGUAUCAAUUGGAGGGCAAGUCUGGUGCCAGCAGCCGCGGUAAUUCCAGCUCCAAUAGCGUAUAUUAAAAUUGUUGCAGUUAAAAAGCUCGUAGUUGAAUUUCUGCUAAGAAUAACCGGUCUGCUUUUAAUAAAAGUGGUAUCUUGGUGUGUUUUUAGCAAUAAUGUCCUUUGAAAUGCUUUUUUACUUUAUUGUAAAAAGCAAUAUUCAGGAUUUUUACUUUGAGAAAAUUAGAGUGUUUCAAGCAGGCUU
RNAcentral lists this ribosomal RNA (353 nucleotides) under Eucoccidiorida sp. RNAcentral describes it as "SSU rRNA". It matches the Rfam family "Eukaryotic small subunit ribosomal RNA", at positions 444 to 787 of the family's 1831-position model. The record is from RNAcentral. Lineage: Eukaryota; Apicomplexa; Conoidasida; Eucoccidiorida.